This 253-nucleotide ribosomal RNA is filed under the name uncultured bacterium. RNAcentral's name for it is "partial 16S ribosomal RNA". It matches the Rfam family "Bacterial small subunit ribosomal RNA", at positions 524 to 776 of the family's 1533-position model. The record is from RNAcentral.
UACGUAGGGUGCAAGCGUUUUCCGGAAUUAUUGGGCGUAAAGAGCUCGUAGGCGGUCUGUCGCGUCGGCUGUGAAAUCCCGAGGCUCAACCUCGGGUCUGCAGUCGAUACGGGCAAACUAGAGUAUUGCAGGGGAGACUGGAAUUCCUGGUGUAGCGGUGAAAUGCGCAGAUAUCAGGAGGAACACCGGUGGCGAAGGCGGGUCUCUGGGCAAUAACUGACGCUGAGGAGCGAAAGCGCGGGGAGCGAACAGG